Molecule: small nuclear RNA, 162 nt
Organism: Fukomys damarensis (Damara mole-rat)
Lineage: Eukaryota; Metazoa; Chordata; Mammalia; Rodentia; Bathyergidae
Gene: U1
Rfam family: U1 spliceosomal RNA
About the family: U1 is a small nuclear RNA (snRNA) component of the spliceosome (involved in pre-mRNA splicing). Its 5' end forms complementary base pairs with the 5' splice junction, thus defining the 5' donor site of an intron.
Source: Ensembl
AUACUUACCUGACAGGAGAGAUACCAUGAUCAUGAAGGUGGUUUUCCCAGGGCAAGGUUUACCCAUUGCACUCUGAAUGUGCUGACCCCUGCAAUUUCCCCAAAUGUGGAAAACUUAACUAUAAUUUGUGGUACUGGGGGACUAUGUUCACACUCUCCUCUG